This is a small nucleolar RNA of Sander lucioperca (pikeperch), 80 nucleotides long. The record is from Ensembl. Lineage: Eukaryota; Metazoa; Chordata; Actinopteri; Perciformes; Percidae.
GUCUUGUCAAUGAUGUUUAUAAACACAAAUGUCUGAACAAAUGAUUUCCUAUGAUUCAUUCUUCUGUACUGAGACAAGAC